This 441-nucleotide ribosomal RNA is filed under the name uncultured bacterium. RNAcentral's name for it is "partial 16S ribosomal RNA". It matches the Rfam family "Bacterial small subunit ribosomal RNA", at positions 338 to 795 of the family's 1533-position model. The record is from RNAcentral.
CCUACGGGGGACAGCAGUGGGGAAUAUUGCACAAUGGGGGAAACCCUGAUGCAGCGACGCCGCGUGAGUGAAGAAGUAUUUCGGUAUGUAAAGCUCUAUCAGCAGGAACGAGACAAGACGGUACCUGACUAAGAAGCCCCGGCUAACUACGUGCCAGCAGCCGCGGUAAUACGUAGGGGGCAAGCGUUAUCCGGAAUCACUGGUGGGAAAGGGAGCGUAGACGGCUGUGCAAGCCUGAAGUGAAAGGCGGGGGCCUAACCCCGUGACUGCUUUGGGAACUGUACGGCUGGAGUGCAGGAGAGGUAAGUGGAAUGCCUAGUGUAGCGGUGAAAUGCGUAGAUAUUAGGAGGAACACCAGUGGCGAAGGCGGCUUACUGGACUGUAACUGACGUUGAGGCUCGAAAGCGUGGGGAGCAAACAGGAUUAGAUACCCGGGUAGUC